This 81-nucleotide non-coding RNA is filed under the name Candidatus Faecalibacterium gallistercoris. Its description in RNAcentral is "Fluoride riboswitch". It matches the Rfam family "Fluoride riboswitch aptamer (crcB RNA motif)", at positions 10 to 60 of the family's 64-position model. The record is from RNAcentral. Lineage: Bacteria; Bacillati; Bacillota; Clostridia; Eubacteriales; Oscillospiraceae.
GAUGGGAAUGAAGUUCUCCCCUGGCAUAAGCCUUAACCGCUUUUUUAAGCUGUUGCUUUUUUAAGCUGAUGACUUCUGCAA